RNAcentral lists this ribosomal RNA (690 nucleotides) under Searsia pendulina. Its description in RNAcentral is "eukaryotic LSU rRNA". The stretch from base 292 to 447 matches the Rfam family "5.8S ribosomal RNA". The record is from RNAcentral. Lineage: Eukaryota; Viridiplantae; Streptophyta; Magnoliopsida; Sapindales; Anacardiaceae.
GUUUCCGUAGGUGAACCUGCGGAAGGAUCAUUGUCGAAACCUGCCCAGCAGAACGACCCGCGAACAUGUCUUAAACACCGGGGGCCUGCGGGCCUCGUGCCCGUGCGCUCCCGCCCGNGCCGCGAAGCGCGGCGGCCGCACGCGUCCGCGUGCGUCCGUCCGUCCCCUCGCGGCGCGUUAACGAACCCCGGCGCGAAUCGCGCCAAGGAAAUCUCAACGAGAGAGCCCGCUCCCGUCGCCCCGGAAACGGUGCGCGCGCGGGAUGCGUGGCCUUCUUUCAAUAUCUAUAACGACUCUCGGCAACGGAUAUCUCGGCUCUCGCAUCGAUGAAGAANGUAGNGAAAUGCGAUACUUGGUGUGAAUUGCAGAAUCCCGUGAACCAUCGAGUCUUUGAACGCAAGUUGCGCCCCAAGCCGUUAGGCCGAGGGCACGUCUGCCUGGGUGUCACGCAUNGUCGCCCCCCUCCCCGGACCCUGCGGUCUCGCGGGCGGCGGGGGCGGAGAAUGGCCUCCCGUGUGCUCGCGCACGCGGUUGGCCCAAACCCGAGUCCUCGGUGACGCUUUCCCGCGACAAUCGGUGGCGUUUCAAACACGACCUAGUGAUCCUGUCGUGCGGGGGCGUUCUCCGUCCUGAGGACUCCUCGACCCUCGGGAGCCGGCGCCAGCCGGCUCGCAUCGCGACCCCANGUCA